Molecule: ribosomal RNA, 502 nt
Filed under: uncultured bacterium
Lineage: Bacteria
Description: partial 16S ribosomal RNA
Rfam family: Bacterial small subunit ribosomal RNA
Source: RNAcentral
GACGAGCGCUGGCGGCGUGCUUAACACAUGCAAGUCGAACGGUGAAGGGGCCUGCUUUUGUGGGCCCUGGAUGAGUGGCGAACGGGUGAGUAACACGUGAGUAACCUGCCCCCUUCUUCUGGAUAACCGCAUGAAAGUGUGGCUAAUACGGGAUAUUCUGGGUCUGUCGCAUGAUGGGUCUGGGAAAGAUUGCGCCUUUGGGUGUUUUUGGUGGGGGAUGGGCUCGCGGCCUAUCAGCUUGUUGGUGGGGUGAUGGCCUACCAAGGCGGUGACGGGUAGCCGGCCUGAGAGGGUGGACGGUCACACUGGGACUGAGACACGGCCCAGACUCCUACGGGAGGCAGCAGUGGGGAAUAUUGCACAAUGGGCGCAAGCCUGAUGCAGCGACGCCGCGUGAGGGAUGGAGGCCUUCGGGUUGUAAACCUCUUUCGCCAGUGAAGCAGGCCUGCUCCUUGUGGGUGGGUUGACGGUAGCUGGAGAAGAAGCGCCGGCUAACUACGUG